GAGGAUUGAAAGUUUCUGAAUAUUGUGAAGUGAAUUAUGGAAUAGAAAUGUGAUUGGUAUUAUUUAAGAAGAAGAAAGAUUGAAUUCUAAAAUCUGAUUGUAGUUUAGCAGAGAGAAUGAGUCUGUAUUUGUGUGAAACACUGUAAUGUGAAUGGCAAUUAUAUGUGAAGAAUUUCAGUGAUUGGAACGAGGGUAAUUGUGUGUUGAAAGCUGUGAGGGCGCAAUAUUACAGUUGGAGAUUAUGAGGGUGAAUAUAUUAGUAGAAAUAGCAGUUAUUGGUAUGACUGAAUUGCUGUAAGGAAGAGAUCGAUAAGGUGAAGGAAGAAAUUGUAGUUUCGUUAAGUGUUCAGAUAUUGAAAAUAGAGACGAUACAUUUAGGAGGUAAUUGAUUGUGUGACACUAACGUGAACGCUUAAGCAACUAGUCAUUCCCCAUGUUCGAAUCUCCCUAUACGGGUUUAUGCUAGGAGGUUUCUUCCAGAAUAAGUAAAACGAGCAAUCACAUUUUGGCGCCACUGCCGGGGAGUGAUAAUAGCUUUGAGUGUUAGGAAUUAAUAACCAAAUAUGUGAGAAAAUUGGCAAUGGAAGACGAUUGCAGUAGUGUUUGAAGAAUGAGUAUAGUUAUUAAAAAUGAGAAUUUAACAGAAAAGAGAAUAAAGCAAUUAAAGGAAAGAACAAAGAGAUCACAAGCAAGAAAUUUAUUGCGUAAUGAGCGAGAUCGCAAAUUGAAAAAGAAGCAUCGAAAAAGUUGGAUUAAGCCGUGGUUGCAUGUCUGUCGACAUAUUCGAUCAUACCCAAAAGACGAUCGACCUCUAAUAUUUCAGAAGUACAUACCGUUAAAGAAAUUACCAAGAGCACUUGCGAGAAGCGUUGCUAAUAGUCCAGCAAACCUCUCGAAGCCAUUAACGAAAAACAAGGAAGGCACAGAGGAAUUAGGUACUCCAGUGGAUAUCUUUUCAAUUAGAAAUACGUUCGAUUCUAACAAGACUGGUUCUGAAGAUCGGCAUAAAUCACUUGUUAAUAAAGACCAAUUCAGAGUAUAUCAAAACCUAUCAUUUUUACUUCAUAUUUAACUAGUAAAAUUAUUUGGAGAUAAUAAUAGUCAAUCGGAAAGGCCUGGAAGUCCGAAAAAGACUUUUACGGGAGACAGUUUUUAUUUUAAUAAGAAAUUGAGCAAAACACCGGUAUCUUUAAUGACGUCCGGAGAACCAACAGUUCCAAUUGCAGUUCAAAUGGGUGCAGUGGACGAUCGAACGACUAGCGUCGCGCCAUUACCUACUUUUUGGGGUUUGCCAGGUGCAGAUCUAGAUCAACAUUUCUCUCAAUUCUUGAUGGCGUCUGUAGCCAAUAAUGGAAGAAUAGAAGAUAUUUGGCUGAGAUGGCUGCCAAUAACAUUGAAAGACGCAGCGUUUGAGUGGUAUAACUGCCAACCUGUGGGACAAUUUAUCAAUUGGAAGGCAUUGAAAAAUACAUUUUUAGCCCAUUUUUGACCAAUUGGUUUUGAAGAAUGUCUUAGAGAAAAAUUAAUGAAUAGCAAAAUGGUACCAGGAGAAGCGAUACAGUCAUAUUGUGGUCGUAUAGCGGAUAUACUUCGAAAAUGGCCAAAUAACCAAAUGUCGAAAUCAUUUGUGUUGUCCAUAUUGGUUAAUGGACUACACCCACCAGAAUUGAAAAUGUUUGUAAAGGAGGCCCAAUCAGCCACCAUUGUAUCAUCUCUUGAGCGAGCAAAAGUAUGGGAGGAAUGUCACUAUGACCAGAACUUAACAAUUGGAGCCACGAUGAUUCCAUCUCAAAGAGGUUAUCAAAUGACAAAUUGGAAUGACGCAUCGGGAAGUUAUCUAGGAAGGAAUGAUUAUGGUACAAUUCCACAAGGAAUAGUGGAUGCCGUUCCAUUGCAAGCUAUACCACCAUCAUCAUCACACCCGUAUGCACCUUAUUCCACAUAUCAGAAAUCAAUACCUACAAAGGAAUUGCCAAAUGCAUUGGUAUCAAGGGAUCCGAAUGAGUCAUUGCUGUUAACAUUGACAAAAGAAAUGGAUGAAUUGGCUGUGAAUUUGGCCAAGGAUAAAGAAAAAAGGCAUAAACCAACCAAUAUGCAUCCCAAUGGCUGGUGCAGCAAUUAUAAGGGGCAAGGUUAUUUACUAACAAAAUGUCCUUCACCACCCCAAAUGACUGUACAAUGUACCUUUUGCGGGGGCAAGCAUAUUACCACCAACUGUUGGAAUUUAUGGAAGCAACAACAACUCAAUAACCAGAUAAUGACUCAAUCAACUUUGUGGGAUGUCAAUCAAGUACAGAGAAAUAUUAGGUUUGGCUGGAAUGGAAAUUGAGCGAAUAAGCAAAACAAGAAUUAUUCUAAUUUCUUCAACUCUGAAUUUCACCAAGAAGGUGUAUCUAAUACUCAUGGAUUGGUGAUGAACCAACCAGGAUACCAUCAAUAUCCACCCAUGACAAAGCCAAUGCCAGACUCUACAGUAACAAUGGAUCAACCAGGAUCCUUUAUUCAUCCGAUAUGGAACAGACCUAGCCGUUAUAUACCAGUAAAGACACCCAUUAUCCUUGAAGGAGUUGGCAGGAGACCACUUCGUUGCUAUCGUUGCAGACAAAUCGGACAUUAUGCAACUGAAUGUCCUAAUCCAAGGGCCAGUGAUGACUAUGCUCCAAUAUGUAGAAAUUGUAAGCAAUCUAGUCACAUUUAUCAGCAAAGCAAUGCGCCCUUUAAUUAUAAUAAUCGGGACCAGCAAAUGCAAACAAGCCAACCGACAGAGGACAAAGGCCCUGUUCAAUGAGACUCACCAGUACAUCGUAUUGAAGUGGUGAACGUAGUGCUUACCAGAGGCCAACAAAAAGAUAAGAAUUCAAUUCAAGAUAUGAAUGAACCAAUCAUAGGAGAGCAAGUAGCGCCAUCCACGGGGCUAAACGAACCAAUAUCAGUAUUGUGACAUAUUCCAAUAUUGAGACCUCAACAUACUGAGGAAUCCAAUUUGAUUUCACAUGCCAAUUUUCGGGGACCGUCUAAUCCAGGUCCUGUUACGGGCUUUGUACCCAGUAUGAAACUUGAAUCGGUGGCACAAUCCAAUGAGGUUCUAAUUACGGAGGCUUCAGUUUUGUUCCGAGAAAUUUUGAUCUCUAUACAGUUUCGAGAAAUGUCCUAUCCAUUGAAAGAUCCUCUCGGGGACAAAAAUUCCAAAGAAACCCGACUGCUAUUCCAAUUCCGAGUCCAAGGUAAAAGAAUAUCUUAUUUCAUAGAGUAAAAUCAAAACCAAUGAAACGUAAAAGAGCAUUGGAAAUUACUCUCAAUAUGGAACCCUAUAACAUUCUGAGGGAUUUGGAUGUUAUUUAGCCUUCAAUUAUAAUGAAGCAACUUUUGGCUUUAGCACCAGAAUGUCGAUCUACAUUGAAUUCAGCGUUAAUACGAUGAAGAUCCCACACUAAAGAAAUUCAUGAAGUUAGUUUAAACCCAGAUCCGGAAGCACCAACAAUCGAUGGUAUUUUAAUUCCAGGGGUACAAGUCGAUGGUGGCUCAAGUGUGAAUUUAAUGAACUUGGAUACAAUGGAGGACUUGGAUCUAAAGCAAUUGCUACCUACCACAUUGGUAUUACGAAUGGCAGAUCAUAGCCAAGUUAAACCAAUUGGUAUCUUACGGAGUGUUCAAACUAUGAUUGUCGAUAUUGCAUAUGAAAUCGACUAUAUCAUCUUUCGAUUACAAUGUUCGACUUUAUCAUAUCUAAUUUUAUUGGGACGACCUUGGCUUUAUCAAGCAAAGGCCAAGAAUAAUUGGGGUUGAGAUACUUUGACAAUUGACAAGGGCAGAGACAAAAUGGUGUUACAAAUGUACCCAGUACACUAUCACGGGGAGUCUCAAUUGCUAGCAUCUGAAUUAACAUCGGAUGAUUAGCUUAGCUCUGAUGACGACACAGUAGCACCAAUUACGAAGGCGCCCAUAGAGGCAGCACUAUACCCUGGAGUGGUGUACCAAUGUGGAGGUCCGGGAGAGUACUUGAUAUACCCGACAGACUUAAAAAACUUGGAUUAUGUUAGUACUAAUUGGAUGACCAAGUAUGAUAUGUACCAUGUUAAUGCCCUGGACACAGGAUUCAGUACUUUAUACAUGUCGAACUUACCAACUGACUUUAAACCAGUGCGGAGGUUGAAACAGAACAUCGCCGUUGCACCUUUAUGUCAAACUAUCAACUUGGUGACCACAGUAGAACCUCGGACAAUUAAGGUCUACGAAAGUAUUAAGAAACAAGAGUUGACAUACUGGACCGAAUUUUUCUUGCAUCAUAAAUCCGCUUUUGCUUGAACUUAUGAUGAUUUAAAAGGUAUCUCUACUGAAGUCUGUCAGCAUCGUAUCAUUUUAGAGGAGAAUGCUAAAUCGGUACGGUAGAUGCAACAUCGCCUUAAUCCUAAAUAUUCUCUCAUGGUGAAGGAGGAAUUGGACAAGCUUCUUGCGGUUGGUUUUAUUUACAUGGUACUAAAUAGUGAGUGGGUGUCGCCAAUUGUGAGGGUACGAAAAAAGAAUGGAAAAAUGUGAAUUUGUCAGGAUUUCCAGAAACUUAAUGCGGCCACCAAGAAAGAUUACUUCUCAUUACCUUUCACGGACAGUAUGGAUAACAUAUUGGUAUUAUCACCAGAUAGUAAAAAAAUAGGAGUGGAGCACCAGUUAAAGUCAUUAUGUGGUGUUAUUUUGAGUUGGCUGGAGUGCCAUUUUCUUGUAUUUCUUGUGUUUUUGAGAGUAGUAGUUCCAGUUAAGAGUUAACAGUGAGGAGCCAGUCACAAGAAAGAGAACGCAUGGUGGAGACCCACAAACAAGAACUAUUUUGCACUCAUAGUCAUUCAAUUUUGGAACUGAAAAAAGUGAAGGGUCAGUUGGUAAUGGUACGAGAAAAGACCGAGUUAUUGACGCAAGAGAAAUUGGUAUUGAGUGACCAAUACAGAUGUGAAACGGAGCAGUUAAGGGCUAAAAUUGAGACCUUGAACACUAAGGUGAUAAGAUUGGCAGAGGAUUUAGUUAAUAUUGGUCAAGCACAUGUAUCGACAUUGCCAGUUCUCGAAGUUCCAGAAGAGAGAAGUCACUUUGAGCGCCAAUUGGAAUUGAGAGAUGCCCAGAUCGUGAAAUUGGAAGCUCAAGUCCGUGAACUGGGCAAGUACAAUGAAGACCUUUCAGCUCAGUUGAGGCAAGAGCCGAUGGAAGGAUUGAAGAGGACGAAGAUUUACAGUUGGAACCGGAAUUAGUGGAACCAAUAACAGAUACUGCGGCAAUUGAUUAAUUAGAUAGGCCAAAGGGAUCGCACUUUUUGUAGAGUUUUGUUAGGUAAUUUUUAGAUAGGUAUCCAUUGAGUAUUUGUAAGGACGCUGCACAGUUAGGAGUGGGGCUAUGUAGAAUAAGUAGUUAUUUUCAGAAUGUAGAUAACCAGUGUAUAGUGUAAACAGGGAUAGAUAACUGCUGAAAAGGUGAUUCAAUAAGUAGAAUGGAUGAAUAGUCAGGAAAAGUAGUUAUCAUCUGUACUAUAGGAGUUGGUAUCUCGGGGUAGUAUAAAGAGGAUGAGAGAGGAGAAGAAAAUGCCAGACUGUGAGAGUUGUGAGCCGAGGAUCAGAUUGUGAGAGUUGUGAGCCGGAGGCCAGAUUAUGAGAGUUGUGAGUCGGGGGCCAAACUGUGAGAGUUGUGAGGCAAGGGCCAGAUUGUGAGAGUUGUGAGCCAGAGUAAGCUUGGUGCUACCUCUUUUCUUUUGUUUGUUAUUUUCUUUAAAUAAGAGGAUUGAAAGUUUCUGAAUAUUGUGAAGUGAAUUAUGGAAUAGAAAUGUGAUUGGUAUUAUUUAAGAAGAAGAAAGAUUGAAUGCUGAAAUCUGAUUGUAGUUUAGCAGAGAGAAUGAGUCUGUAUUUGUGUGAAAUACUGUAAUGUGAAUGGCAAUUAUAUGUGAAGAAUUCCAGUGAUUGGAACGAGGGUAAUUGUGUGUUGAAAGCUGUGAGGGCGCAAUAUUACAGUUGGAGAUUAUGAGGGUGAAUAUAUUAGUAGAAAUAGCAGUUAUUGGUAUGACUGAAUUGCUGUAAGGAAGAGAUCGAUAAGGUGAAGGAAGAGAUUGUAGUUUCGUUAAGUGUUCAGAUAUUGAAAAUAGAGACGAUACAUUUAGGAGGUAAUUGAUUGUGUGACACUAACAUGAACGCUUAAGCAACUAGUCAUUCCCCAUGUUUGAAUCUCCCUAUACGGGUUUAUGCUAGGAGGUUUCUUCCAGAAUAAGUAAAACGAGAAAUCACACCUACUAAAAAUUUUCUUGAUUGAAAAGCUAUUGGAUGAAGUUUGUCAUGUAAUCCUAUUUGUGAUAAGAUUGCAUCCAAAGCAAAGUUAAAUGCAUCUACCUCCAUAAAAAAUUGCUUUGGA
Molecule: long non-coding RNA, 6381 nt
Filed under: Physcomitrium patens
Lineage: Eukaryota; Viridiplantae; Streptophyta; Bryopsida; Funariales; Funariaceae
Description: long non-coding RNA (PPAT_LNC014921)
Source: RNAcentral